Molecule: long non-coding RNA, 202 nt
Filed under: Mytilus galloprovincialis (Mediterranean mussel)
Lineage: Eukaryota; Metazoa; Mollusca; Bivalvia; Mytilida; Mytilidae
Source: RNAcentral
AUAAUAAACGGAAUAUAUUUUACACCAGUUUUUCAUUCAUUGCUUUGAAAUUGGUAAACUUAAUAAACGGUCGGCGCUACAAUUGGUGACAGCGGUGAACGAAUUUAAUUUUUAUUAAAUUGCCACUGAAAUUCUUUUGAUUUAAAAAUUAUUAAUACUCAAAGUGUAACUUGAUACACAAAGAGUUUUAACAAAAAGGGGG